This 264-nucleotide ribosomal RNA is filed under the name uncultured bacterium. Its description in RNAcentral is "partial 16S ribosomal RNA". It matches the Rfam family "Bacterial small subunit ribosomal RNA", at positions 793 to 1055 of the family's 1533-position model. The record is from RNAcentral.
GUCCACGCCGUAAACGAUGUCGACUAGCCGUCGGGCUCACUAUUGAGAGUUUGGUGGCGUAGCUAACGCGAUAAGUCGACCGCCUGGGGAUUACGACCGCAAGGUUAAACUCAAAGGAAUUGACGGGGCCCGCACAAGCGGUGGAGCAUGUGGAUUAAUUCGAUGCAACGCGAAGAACCUUACCAGCCCUUGAUAUCCAGCGAACCCUUGAGAAAUUAAGGGGUGCCUUCGGGAGCGCUGAGACAGGUGCUGCAUGGCUGUCGU